AUUGAACGCUGGCGGCAGGCCUAACACAUGCAAGUCGAGCGAGAAAGGUCUUCGGACUGAGUACAGCGGCGGACGGGUGAGUAAUGCGCAGGAAUCUACCUGGUAGUGGGGGAUAACUCGGGGAAACUCGAACUAAUACCGCAUACGCCUACGGGGAAAGGCGGGGACCGUUCGGGCCUCGCGCUAUCAGAUGAGCCUGCGUAGGAUUAGCUUGUUGGUGAGGUAAAGGCUCACCAAGGCGAAGACGGGUAGGCUGGUCUGAGAGGAUGAUCAGCCACACUGGAACUGAGACACGGUCCAGACUCCUACGGGAGGCAGCAGUGGGGAAUAUUGCGCAAUGGGCGAAAGCCUGACGCAGCCACGCCGCGUGAGCGAUGAAGGCCUUCGGUCGUAAGACUCUGUGGGAGGAGAAGAAUAAAGACCU
This 424-nucleotide ribosomal RNA is filed under the name uncultured bacterium. Its description in RNAcentral is "bacterial SSU rRNA". It matches the Rfam family "Bacterial small subunit ribosomal RNA", at positions 29 to 458 of the family's 1533-position model. The record is from RNAcentral.